RNAcentral lists this ribosomal RNA (429 nucleotides) under uncultured bacterium. RNAcentral's name for it is "bacterial SSU rRNA". It matches the Rfam family "Bacterial small subunit ribosomal RNA", at positions 355 to 775 of the family's 1533-position model. The record is from RNAcentral.
UGGGGAAUCUUGCGCAAUGGGCGAAAGCCUGACGCAGCGACGCCGCGUGCGGGAGGAAGCUCUUCGGGGUGUAAACCGCUGUCAGGGGGGAAGAAAGGUCACGCGAGGAAAUGCGAGUGAUUUGACGGUACCUCCAGAGGAAGCACCGGCUAACUCUGUGCCAGCAGCCGCGGUAAUACAGAGGGUGCGAGCGUUGUUCGGAAUUACUGGGCGUAAAGCGCGCGCAGGCGGCUUUCUAAGUCUCGUGGUCAAAUGCCGGGGCUCAACCCCGAGCGUGCCAGGGAUACUGGGAGGCUGGAGACAGGUAGAGGCAAGCGGAAUUCCGGGUGUAGCGGUGGAAUGCGUAGAGAUCCGGAAGAACACCGGAGGCGAAGGCGGCUUGCUGGACCUGGUCUGACGCUGAGGCGCGAAAGCGUGGGGAGCGAACAG